GAUGAAGAACGUAGUGAAAUGCGAUACGUAAUGUGAAUUGCAAAUUCAGUGAAUCAUCGAGUCUUUGAACGCACAUUGCGCCCCCUGGUAUUCCGGGGGGCAUGCCUGUCCGAGCGUCAUUGCUGCCCUCAAGCACGGCUUGUGUGUUGGGCCCCGUCCUCCGAUCCCGGGGGACGGGCCCGAAAGGCAGCGGCGGCACCGCGUCCGGUCCUCGAGCGUAUGGGGCUUUGUCACCCGCUCUGUAGGCCCGGCCGGCGCUUGCCGAUCAACCCAAAUUUUUAUCCAGGUUGACCUCGGAUCAGGUAGGGAUACCCGCUGAACUUAAGCAUAUCAAUAAGCGGAGA
Molecule: unclassified non-coding RNA, 344 nt
Filed under: soil metagenome
Description: partial contains 5.8S ribosomal RNA, internal transcribed spacer 2, and large subunit ribosomal RNA
Rfam family: 5.8S ribosomal RNA (bases 1-119)
Source: RNAcentral